GGGAUUAGAUACCCCACUAUGCUUAGCCUUAAACCUAGAUGUUUAAUUUACAAGCAACAUCCGCCAGGGUACUACAAGCGCUAGCUUAAAACCCAAAGGACUUGACGGUGUCUCAGACCCACCUAGAGGAGCCUGUUCUAGAACCGAUAAUCCCCGUUAAACCUCACCACCCCUUGUUUUCUCCGCCUAUAUACCGCCGUCGCAAGCUUACCCUGUGAAGGUCUCAUAGUAAGCAAAAUGGGUAAAUCCCAAAACGUCAGGUCGAGGUGUAGCUUACGAGGUGGGAAGAAAUGGGCUACAUUUUCUAUAUCAGAAUAAUACGAACAGCACUAUGAAAUUAGUGCUCGAAGGUGGAUUUAGUAGUAAAAAACAAAUAGAGAGUCUUUUUGAACCAGGCUCUGAGACGCGCACACACCGCCCC
Molecule: ribosomal RNA, 421 nt
Filed under: Bryconamericus cristiani
Lineage: Eukaryota; Metazoa; Chordata; Actinopteri; Characiformes; Stevardiidae
Description: partial 12S ribosomal RNA
Rfam family: Bacterial small subunit ribosomal RNA
Source: RNAcentral